CAGAAAUGUGUGAACAUUUUAUAAAUACACAGACACACACAUCUACACACACAGAAACACAGUUGAGCAGACAGAAUGGACUAAUAUUGGUUUCAUGCUUUUCACUGUUGAACAACAGCUGCAGGGGGAAUCCGUUGGUGGAGGGUGAACCUGAUGAGGUGGCUUUUCUUUAUCUGGGUCACCUGCUAGAAAAAAAGAAAGAAGAAUGGAGAGAUGAAGAGGAUCCACUGUGUAAAGAAGGUGUGAAUCCUACCUGAUCUGUUCCAGUCCUCCGUAGUGGCUAAGGCUACUUCCUGA
Long non-coding RNA from Girardinichthys multiradiatus, 297 nucleotides. RefSeq lists it as uncharacterized. NCBI's taxonomy places the organism in Eukaryota, Metazoa, Chordata, Actinopteri, Cyprinodontiformes, Goodeidae. The record is from RefSeq and is a predicted model, not a curated record. The transcript has 3 exons.